This 253-nucleotide ribosomal RNA is filed under the name uncultured bacterium. RNAcentral describes it as "partial 16S ribosomal RNA". It matches the Rfam family "Bacterial small subunit ribosomal RNA", at positions 524 to 776 of the family's 1533-position model. The record is from RNAcentral.
UACAGAGGGGGCAAGCGUUGUUCGGAAUUACUGGGCGUAAAGGGCGCGUAGGCGGCCUGCUAAGUCGAACGUGAAAUCCCUGGGCUCAACCCAGGAACUGCGUCCGAUACUGGUUGGCUUGAAUCCGGGAGAGGGAUGUGGAAUUCCAGGUGUAGCGGUGAAAUGCGUAGAUAUCUGGAGGAACACUGGUGGCGAAGGCGACAUCCUGGACCGGCAUUGACGCUGAGGCGCGAAAGCCAGGGGAGCAAACGGG